This 174-nucleotide ribosomal RNA is filed under the name uncultured bacterium. Its description in RNAcentral is "partial 16S ribosomal RNA". It matches the Rfam family "Bacterial small subunit ribosomal RNA", at positions 338 to 524 of the family's 1533-position model. The record is from RNAcentral.
CCUACGGGAGGCAGCAGUGGGGAAUAUUGCACAAUGGGCGGAAGCCUGAUGCAGCGACGCCGCGUGAGGGAUGACGGCCUUCGGGUUGUAAACCUCUUUCAGCAGGGACGAAGCGUAAGUGACGGUACCUGCAGAAGAAGCACCGGCUAACUAUGUGCCAGCAGCCGCGGUAAU